Molecule: non-coding RNA, 45 nt
Filed under: Schistosoma mansoni
Lineage: Eukaryota; Metazoa; Platyhelminthes; Trematoda; Strigeidida; Schistosomatidae
Source: RNAcentral
AUCCAGCUGACGAGUCCCAAAUAAGACUAAACGUGCGUUAUGGAU